Molecule: ribosomal RNA, 253 nt
Filed under: uncultured bacterium
Lineage: Bacteria
Description: partial 16S ribosomal RNA
Rfam family: Bacterial small subunit ribosomal RNA
Source: RNAcentral
UACGAAGGGGGCUAGCGUUGUUCGGAUUUACUGGGCGUAAAGCGCACGUAGGCGGAUCGUUAAGUCGGGGGUGAAAUCCUGGAGCUCAACUCCAGAACUGCCUUCGAUACUGGCGAUCUAGAGUCCGGAAGAGGUGAGUGGAACUCCUAGUGUGGAGGUGGAAUUCGUAGAUAUUAGGAAGAACACCAGUGGCGAAGGCGGCUCACUGGACCGGUACUGACGCUGAGGUGCGAAAGCGUGGGGAGCAAACAGG